Long non-coding RNA from Juglans microcarpa x Juglans regia, 476 nucleotides. RefSeq lists it as uncharacterized. NCBI's taxonomy places the organism in Eukaryota, Viridiplantae, Streptophyta, Magnoliopsida, Fagales, Juglandaceae. The transcript is spliced from 4 exons. The record is from RefSeq and is a predicted model, not a curated record.
GAAAAAAUUAGUGCUUUCUUGCGUGUUGUUGAUGAGUUUGAGACAAAAUGUGAAGGUUCAACACUAGAGUCAGCAUAUGAACAAACGAAGGCCAGAGCAAAUGUCGUCUUGGAUAAGGGUAAGAAGAUACUAAGCCCCAACGUGGUUCGAGGGAAAGGGAGACCCCCAAGUAAGAGGAAGGUUCCACCAGUUGAAAAGUUGGCAACAAAGAGAAAGAAACCGACUUCCAGGAAAAUCUUGGUAGAUGAAACACAAUUGGGUGAGACACCGGGAUCUGAACAACACCAAUUUGAUGAUGGGGUUGAUGUUGGAACACAAAACAGCAUUCUUACACAAUCAACUCCAGAGAUGUGUCACCAUCUCGAUGCACACUUGUAAUCCCAUGGUGAUGAGAAGCCACAUUUUUUGAAGCUCUUGGAGAGGGAGAAGCUGGAAGUUGGGAGUUCGGGGAGUAACUUGACUCUGGGGGCCGUAGC